RNAcentral lists this ribosomal RNA (1131 nucleotides) under Triticum aestivum (bread wheat). Its description in RNAcentral is "partial small subunit ribosomal RNA". The record is from RNAcentral. Lineage: Eukaryota; Viridiplantae; Streptophyta; Magnoliopsida; Poales; Poaceae.
AUGGAGCCACGCGGCUGUCGCCGGAAGCAGCAGGGGGCGGCGGAGGACAAGGAGAACACCGCCGGCACGGCGCCGCCGCCCCCCAAGAGGCCGCGCUGCACGGAGCGCAGGGCCCUUGCCGAGCUCCCCGCCGCAUCCACCGCGAACAACGCCUCGGCGGCGCCGUCCAAGCCGAUGACGCGCGCGGCGGCCAGGGAGGCGGCCGCCGCGGCGGUGGAGGAGGAGGCGCGGAGGAGGGAGUGUUCCGCCAUUGCCGCCCGCCCGGCGGCCUCGAGGCAGACGGACGCCGGGGCGGCGCAGGCGUCGGUUGGCCCGUACGUCGCGGAUAUCGACGGUUACCUGCGGUCCCUGGAGGUUGAACAAUUGAGGAGGCCGAGGGAUGACUAUAUGGUGGCCAUGCAGAAAGACGUCAACGCCACUAUGAGGGGGAUCUUAGUAGAUUGGUUGGUGGAUGUGGUUGACGAGUUCAAGCUUCUGGUUGACACACUUUACAUUGCGGUUUCAUAUAUUGACCGCUUCCUCACGGCGAGUGUCAUUACCCGGGACAGGCUGCAAUUGCUUGGUGUCGCUUCAUUGUUUGUUGCUGCGAAGUACGAAGAGAUUCAUGUUCCUAAGUUGGACAAAUUCAGUGACAUUACUGACGGCACAUACACCAAUCAGCAGGUGGUGAAGAUGGAGGCUGACAUACUGAAAUAUCUCAACUUUCAGAUGGGGAGUCCCACCGUAAGAACUUUUCUAUUAAGAUUCCUAAUAUCUUGUCGUGGAGGCAAUUGUGCAAGUGCAAAAAGGUUGGAGCUUAUGUGCUGCUAUCUCGCGGAAUUGAGCUUGCUAGACUACGACUGCAUAAGGUUCCUGCCAUCAGUUAUUGCUGCUGCCUGUAUGUUCUUAGCCAGGUUCACAAUCAGCCCAAAGAUUCGUCCUUGGAACUUGACGCUGCAAGAGAAAACGGGCUACAAGGUCUCUGAUCUCAGGAGCUGCAUCCUGAGGAUACACGAUUUGCAGUUGGGCAGACAGUAUUCAAAUCUGAAGGCCAUCAGGAGCAAGUAUAGUGAGCGCAAGUUCGGGUGCGUGUCGAUGAUGGCCUCACCUGUAGAAAUUCCUGCAUCUCUCCUCGAAGACCUCGAUAAGUGA